GACGAACGCUGGCGGCGUGCCUAAUACAUGCAAGUCGAGCGAUGACGCUUGGUGCUUGCACCCAUUUGAAGAGCAGCGAACGGGUGAGUAACGCGUGGGGAAUCUGCCUUUGAGCGGGGGACAACAUUUGGAAACGAAUGCUAAUACCGCAUAACACCUUUAAACAUAAGUUUUAAGUUUGAAAGAUGCAAUUGCCUCACUCAAAGAUGAUCCCGCGUUGUAUUAGCUAGUUGGUGAGGUAAAGGCUCACCAAGGCGAUGAUACAUAGCCGACCUGAGAGGGAGAACGGCCACAAUGGGACUGGGGCAAGGCCCAAAAUCCUACGGGAGGCAGCAGGAGGGGAUCUUCGGCAAUGGAGGGAAGGCUUGACGAGCAAAGCCGGGGGGGUGGAGGAAGGUUUCGGGUCGGAAAACUCUGUUUGUAGAGAAGGAAGUUGGUGAGAGUGGAAAGCUCAUGAAGUGACGGUAACUACACAGAAAGGGACGGCUAACUACGUG
RNAcentral lists this ribosomal RNA (497 nucleotides) under uncultured bacterium. RNAcentral's name for it is "partial 16S ribosomal RNA". It matches the Rfam family "Bacterial small subunit ribosomal RNA", at positions 28 to 507 of the family's 1533-position model. The record is from RNAcentral.